GCCGAGGUGGCAGAAUCCGGUAACGCGCCAGACUUGAGAUCUGGUGCCCGCAAGGGCUUAGGAGUUCAAAUCUCUUCCUCGGCG
This 84-nucleotide transfer RNA is filed under the name Microcaldota archaeon. RNAcentral's name for it is "tRNA-Ser". It matches the Rfam family "tRNA". From Rfam's summary of the family: Transfer RNA (tRNA) molecules are approximately 80 nucleotides in length. Their secondary structure includes four short double-helical elements and three loops (D, anti-codon, and T loops). Lineage: Archaea; Nanobdellati; Microcaldota. The record is from RNAcentral.